GCUGGGCGUGGUGGCGGGCGCCUGUAAUCCCAGCUACCCAGGAGGCUGAGGCAGGAGAAUUGCUUGAGCCCAGGAGGUGGAGACUGCAGUGAGCUGAGAUACCGCCACUGCACUCCAGCCUGGGAAACAAAGCGAGACUCCAUCUCAA
Non-coding RNA from Homo sapiens (human), 148 nucleotides. It matches the Rfam family "Metazoan signal recognition particle RNA". Rfam says of the family: The signal recognition particle (SRP) is a universally conserved ribonucleoprotein. It is involved in the co-translational targeting of proteins to membranes. NCBI's taxonomy places the organism in Eukaryota, Metazoa, Chordata, Mammalia, Primates, Hominidae. The record is from Rfam.